RNAcentral lists this ribosomal RNA (769 nucleotides) under Rhodocyclales bacterium TP630. RNAcentral's name for it is "bacterial SSU rRNA". It matches the Rfam family "Bacterial small subunit ribosomal RNA", at positions 402 to 1162 of the family's 1533-position model. Lineage: Bacteria; Pseudomonadati; Pseudomonadota; Betaproteobacteria; Rhodocyclales. The record is from RNAcentral.
UGAGUGAAGAAGGCCUUCGGGUUGUAAAGCUCUUUCAGCCGGGAAGAAAUCACAUGGGUUAAUACCCUGUGUGGAUGACGGUACCGGAAUAAGAAGCACCGGCUAACUACGUGCCAGCAGCCGCGGUAAUACGUAGGGUGCGAGCGUUAAUCGGAAUUACUGGGCGUAAAGCGUGCGCAGGCGGUUUGUUAAGAUAGGCGUGAAAUCCCCGGGCUCAACCUGGGAACUGCGUUUAUGACUGGCAGGCUAGAGUAUGGCAGAGGGGGGUGGAAUUCCACGUGUAGCAGUGAAAUGCGUAGAGAUGUGGAGGAACACCGAUGGCGAAGGCAGCCCCCUGGGCCAAUACUGACGCUCAUGCACGAAAGCGUGGGUAGCAAACAGGAUUAGAUACCCUGGUAGUCCACGCCCUAAACGAUGUCAACUAGGUGUUGGGUGGGUAAAACCAUUUAGUACCGGAGCUAACGCGUGAAGUUGACCGCCUGGGGAGUACGGCCGCAAGGUUAAAACUCAAAGGAAUUGACGGGGACCCGCACAAGCGGUGGAUGAUGUGGAUUAAUUCGAUGCAACGCGAAAAACCUUACCUACCCUUGACAUGUCCAGAAGCUCUUAGAGAUUUGAGUGUGCCCGAAAGGGAACUGGAACACAGGUGCUGCAUGGCUGUCGUCAGCUCGUGUCGUGAGAUGUUGGGUUAAGUCCCGCAACGAGCGCAACCCUUGUCGUUAAUUGCCAUCAUUCAGUUGGGCACUUUAACGAGACUGCCGGUGACAAA